This 495-nucleotide ribosomal RNA is filed under the name uncultured bacterium. RNAcentral describes it as "partial 16S ribosomal RNA". It matches the Rfam family "Bacterial small subunit ribosomal RNA", at positions 29 to 523 of the family's 1533-position model. The record is from RNAcentral.
AACGAACGCUGGCGGUAUGCUUAACACAUGCAAGUCGCACGAGAAAGUUUUCUUCGGAAAACGUGUAAAGUGGCGCACGGGUGCGUAACACGUAGAUAACCUACCUUGUUGACGGGCACAACCUCGCGAAAGCGGGGCUAAUUCCCGAUAAGCUCGUUGAGACGUAAAGUUUUAAUGAGGAAAGCGGCCCUCUGAUCUAAGGUCGCGCUACAGGAUGGAUCUGCGGCCCAUCAGCUAGUUGGUGAGGUAAUGGCUCACCAAGGCUAAGACGGGUAGCUGGUCUGAGAGGACGAUCAGCCACACUGGGACUGGAACACGGCCCAGACUCCUACGGGAGGCAGCAGUGGGGAAUAUUGCACAAUGGGGGAAACCCUGAUGCAGCAACGCCGCGUGAGUGAUGACGGUCUUCGGAUUGUAAAGCUCUGUCUUCAGGGACGAUAAUGACGGUACCUGAGGAGGAAGCCACGGCUAACUACGUGCCAGCAGCCGCAGUAA